GAGAGUAUAGCUCAAGUGGUAGAGUACAUGCUUAGUAUGCCUGAGGUCUUGGGUUCAAUCCUCAAUAUUGCCU
Molecule: transfer RNA, 73 nt
Filed under: Camelus bactrianus (Bactrian camel)
Lineage: Eukaryota; Metazoa; Chordata; Mammalia; Artiodactyla; Camelidae
Also listed under: 2 other names
Rfam family: tRNA
About the family: Transfer RNA (tRNA) molecules are approximately 80 nucleotides in length.
Source: Rfam by way of RNAcentral